RNAcentral lists this long non-coding RNA (314 nucleotides) under Rhinopithecus bieti (black snub-nosed monkey). Its description in RNAcentral is "lncRNA (ENSRBIG00000046710.1)". The record is from RNAcentral. Lineage: Eukaryota; Metazoa; Chordata; Mammalia; Primates; Cercopithecidae.
GUGCCCGGUAGUCCUGGGGUGACCCUGGUGUCAUGCAGGGGAGCUGGCAUGUGUAGUGGAGGUGUUUGUGUGGCCUGCAGUAGGAUGCAGCCCUGGCUUGUAGCCUGAGCCCAAUGACCUGCCUGUCCUGUCGUUUCAGGGUUCAGUGGUGGAGAGAGCAUCGGGUGCCCUGCGUCUGUGACGGGCCAGUAUUCCACAUGGAUCUCAUCACAUGGUCCAUGGAAGAUGAUGACCCCAGAGGAGGACUCGUGUUGGACGCACUGUCCCCGGGCCAGUGUCCAUCAGCCAGGUGCCUAGGCCCUAUUGCACUGUAG